GAUGAACGCUGGCGGCGUGCUUAACACAUGCAAGUCGAACGGGGAAGGCGGAGCUUGCUCUGCUGGAUCAGUGGCGAACGGGUGAGUAACACGUGAGCAAUCUGCCCCUGACUCUGGGAUAAGCGCUGGAAACGGCGUCUAAUACUGGAUACGAGCUGCGAAGGCAUCUUCAGCAGCUGGAAAGAAUUUCGGUCAGGGAUGAGCUCGCGGCCUAUCAGCUUGUUGGUGAGGUAAUGGCUCACCAAGGCGUCGACGGGUAGCCGGCCUGAGAGGGUGACCGGCCACACUGGGACUGAGACACGGCCCAGACUCCUACGGGAGGCAGCAGUGGGGAAUAUUGCACAAUGGGCGGAAGCCUGAUGCAGCAACGCCGCGUGAGGGACGACGGCCUUCGGGUUGUAAACCUCUUUUAGCAGGGAAGAAGCGAAAGUGACGGUACCUGCAGAAAAAGCGCCGGCUAACUACGUG
This 468-nucleotide ribosomal RNA is filed under the name uncultured bacterium. RNAcentral describes it as "partial 16S ribosomal RNA". It matches the Rfam family "Bacterial small subunit ribosomal RNA", at positions 28 to 507 of the family's 1533-position model. The record is from RNAcentral.